This 1728-nucleotide unclassified non-coding RNA is filed under the name Hevea brasiliensis (rubber tree). Lineage: Eukaryota; Viridiplantae; Streptophyta; Magnoliopsida; Malpighiales; Euphorbiaceae. The record is from RNAcentral.
GUACUUUUGAAGCUGUAAACCCAAUUUUCUCCCUCUUCCUCUUUCAAAUGGAGCAGGAGCCACAGAGUAAGGAUCAAUCUUCACGAAACCCAAACCCGCUAUGCGAAGAGUGCAAGGAGAACCCAUCAAAGUACAAAUGCCCAGGCUGCUCUAUUCGCUCUUGCAGCCUCCCUUGUGUCAAAGCUCACAAGCAACGCACUGGCUGCUUGGGAAAGCGGCUUCAGACCCAGUUCGUCCCUCUAUCUCAAUUCAAUGAUAAUCUCCUCUUAUCUGAUUAUAAUUUGCUUGAGGAAAUGAAGAGGGUUGCUGAAUCUGCUCAGAGAAUGAGAACAAAAUUGUGUGCAUAUCCUCAAUUUAGGUUACCGGCUCAUCUUCGAAGCCUUAAGGGUGCUGCUGCAGGCCGGAGAACAAAGCUUCUUUUUCUCCCAAGUGGAAUGUCAAAGAGGGAGAAGAAUCAAUCUCGUUACAACCAAAGGAAGAAAUUUAUAUCUUGGACAAUUGAGUGGCGAUUUCACUCCACAGAUGUUAUUUUGCUUGACCAUGGAGUACAUGAAGACACAUACCUCUGCUCUGUAAUUGAGAAGCAUCUAAAGCCUGGACCAUGGAACCAUCAACUAAGGCAAUUCUGUGAUGAGCAUCUGGACUCUCUUAAGUUUUUAAUCCGUAAAUAUCCAAAGGGACCCAAGUCACCUUUCUAUGAGCUGGACAUAAAGGCCCCAUUAAAGCAACAACUAGCCAAUGUUGUUAUUUUGGAGUACCCUGUAAUUUAUGUUUUCCUCCCUUCACACAGUUAUGAUUUUGAAGUUGUCAAAGAUGUGAAACCUGUCACUAAUAGACCAGAAUCUAAGAAUUCUGUUCACAAUGAUGAGCCAAGCCCAAAAGGUGUUGCCUUCAGGGAGGAGGAAAUAGAAGAAAACGAUGACUCCUCAAAUCCUCAGGUUUAUGAUUUCCUGAAAAAUGUAAUUUUGAGUCCGUUACAUGAAAUCCCUCAUCAUAGCAUAUCUGAGAACACAUUAUGUGAGCAAUCUGAUGCCUUGGCAAGAGAGGCAGCAAGCAAUAAUUCACAUUACAAUUCCCAGACCAUGGAACCAGGAAUUUUUGAGGCUAUGGACUUUGAUUUUGAUCAAGGCUUGAUGGAUGCCUACUCGGAUCUCAUUGGACAAGUCAAUCCUGAUGACUUUCUUGAUUUGGAAGGUGAAUUUCCCAAGGAAGAGAGGUUAGAAGAAAGGAAAGAUUUUUGGAAUUCCAGGGCAACUUCAUUAGUGCAAGAGGAAUUAGAAGAAGGGGAAAUUGUGGAGUAAUUGGUAUGCUGGUUUUGAAUUGGACUUUGAUGGGUGGAAUUUAAAGGAACAGCUCAUGAAAAUUACUUCGCAAUUCCAGAUUCAAUUUUUUUCAGUUCCCGUGAUACCAGUAGUAGUGGUUAUGAAUCAGAGUCCAUUGUCUUUAUGGUAAGGCGCACAUUCUUCCCCUCAUAUGAAGUCUAUGGAUGCUAUUUGAUAUGCAUUGGUAUCAGUUGGAACAUAUGAUUUUGAUACCAGCCGUCUUAUGUUCAUGUUUCCAACUUCUGAAACUGGCUACCAGCCUUCCCAAUAUGCAUCCAAGCUAAGCUACUUCUGUAAUGAAACUAAGAUGUUUAUCAUCUUUUAUCCCUUGCUGUUGGAUGGUAAAGCUAUUUUGUGCAUUUUGAUUGCAGAACUUAAUGGUAUAAAGCACUUCGCUGGCAUUUUU